Molecule: ribosomal RNA, 252 nt
Filed under: uncultured bacterium
Lineage: Bacteria
Description: partial 16S ribosomal RNA
Rfam family: Bacterial small subunit ribosomal RNA
Source: RNAcentral
CGAUUAGCUAGUUGGUGAGGUAACGGCCCACCAAGGCGACGAUCGGUAGCCGGACUGAGAGGUUGAACGGCCACAUUGGGACUGAGACACGGCCCAGACUCCUACGGGAGGCAGCAGUGGGGAAUAUUGCACAAUGGGGGAAACCCUGAUGCAGCAACGCCGCGUGAAGGAUGAAGGUUUUCGGAUUGUAAACUUCUUUUAUUCGGGACGAAGAAAGUGACGGUACCGAAUGAAUAAGCCACGGCUAACUAC